This 315-nucleotide ribosomal RNA is filed under the name Triticum aestivum (bread wheat). RNAcentral describes it as "partial small subunit ribosomal RNA". The record is from RNAcentral. Lineage: Eukaryota; Viridiplantae; Streptophyta; Magnoliopsida; Poales; Poaceae.
AUGUUUUAUCCUAUACAUUACAAUGCCAUUCUGUAUUUAGUAUGCUCAGGAUCAUUUGAUCUGUCUUGCACUUGUGUUUUCUUUGUUGGUUCAGUCUUAAUGGUACUUAUCCUUAUAGUUACUUGGGAUUUUUGUCUAUCAUACCUUUUGACCUUUCAUUAUGUUAGUAUCUUUGACUUAUUCGGCAGUUACAUUGCAAGUUCGAGGAAUAUCAUUGGCACAGCAGAGAGGUUGCAAACAAGAAGACAGAAAAUAGCCUUUGCAAAGGACAAGAGGGCGACAACAAAAUUAAGAUUGCUUUCGUGUGUUUGUUGA